UGGGGAAUAUUGCACAAUGGGCGCAAGCCUGAUGCAGCCAUGCCGCGUGUAUGAAGAAGGCCUUCGGGUUGUAAAGUACCUUCAGCGGGGCGGAAGGGAGUAAAGUUAAUACCUUUGCUCAUUGACGUUACCCGCAGAAGAAGCACCGGCUAACCCCGUGCCAGCAGCCGCGGUAAUACGGAGGGUGCAAGCGUUGAUCGGAAUUACUGGGCGUAAAGCGCACGCAGGCGGUUUGUUAAGUCAGAUGUGAAAUCCCCGGGCUCAACCUGGGGACUGCAUCUGAUACUGGCAAGCUUGAGUCUCGUAGAGGGGGGUAGAAUUCCAGGUGUAGCGGUGAAAUGCGUAGAGAUCUGGAGGAAUACCGGUGGCGAAGGCGGCCCCCUGGACGAAGACUGACGCUCAGGUGCGAAAGCGUGGGGAGCAAACAGG
This 429-nucleotide ribosomal RNA is filed under the name Chloroflexota bacterium. RNAcentral's name for it is "Chloroflexi bacterium partial 16S ribosomal RNA". It matches the Rfam family "Bacterial small subunit ribosomal RNA", at positions 355 to 776 of the family's 1533-position model. Lineage: Bacteria; Bacillati; Chloroflexota. The record is from RNAcentral.